UACAGAGGGUGCGAGCGUUAAUCGGAAUUACUGGGCGUAAAGCGUGCGUAGACGGUUAUUUAAGUCGGAUGUGAAAGCCCCGGGCUCAACCUGGGAAUUGCAUUCGAGACUGAAUAGCUAGGGUGCGGUAGAGGGAAGCGGAAUUUCCGGUGUAGCGGUGAAAUGCGUAGAGAUUGGGAAGAACACCGGUGGCGAAAGCGCUCUGCUGGGCCUUAUCUGACACUCAGGGACGAAAGCUAGGGGAGCGAACGGG
RNAcentral lists this ribosomal RNA (253 nucleotides) under uncultured bacterium. RNAcentral's name for it is "partial 16S ribosomal RNA". It matches the Rfam family "Bacterial small subunit ribosomal RNA", at positions 524 to 776 of the family's 1533-position model. The record is from RNAcentral.